RNAcentral lists this ribosomal RNA (691 nucleotides) under Thalassobacillus sp. YIM 93825. Its description in RNAcentral is "bacterial SSU rRNA". It matches the Rfam family "Bacterial small subunit ribosomal RNA", at positions 56 to 725 of the family's 1533-position model. Lineage: Bacteria; Bacillati; Bacillota; Bacilli; Caryophanales; Bacillaceae. The record is from RNAcentral.
CGCGUGAAGCAGGUGGAUCCCUUCGGGGUGACACCUGUGGAUCGAGCGGCGGACGGGUGAGUAACACGUGGGCAACCUGCCUGUAAGACUGGGAUAACCCCGGGAAACCGGGGCUAAUACCGGGUAAUACCGGACUCCGCAUGGAGUCUGGUUGAAAGAUGGCUUCUUGCUAUCACUUACAGAUGGGCCCGCGGCGCAUUAGCUAGUUGGUGAGGUAACGGCUCACCAAGGCAACGAUGCGUAGCCGACCUGAGAGGGUGAUCGGCCACACUGGGACUGAGACACGGCCCAGACUCCUACGGGAGGCAGCAGUAGGGAAUCUUCCGCAAUGGACGAAAGUCUGACGGAGCAACGCCGCGUGAACGAUGAAGGUCUUCGGAUCGUAAAGUUCUGUUGUCAGGGAAGAACACGUACCGUUCGAACAGGACGGUACCUUGACGGUACCUGACGAGGAAGCCCCGGCUAACUACGUGCCAGCAGCCGCGGUAAUACGUAGGGGGCAAGCGUUGUCCGGAAUUAUUGGGCGUAAAGCGCGCGCAGGCGGUUCCUUAAGUCUGAUGUGAAAGCCCACGGCUCAACCGUGGAGGGUCAUUGGAAACUGGGGAACUUGAGUACAGAAGAGGAGAGUGGAAUUCCACGUGUAGCGGUGAAAUGCGUAGAUAUGUGGAGGAACACCAGUGGCGAAGGCGAC